Molecule: ribosomal RNA, 880 nt
Filed under: uncultured beta proteobacterium
Lineage: Bacteria; Pseudomonadati; Pseudomonadota; Betaproteobacteria
Description: bacterial SSU rRNA
Rfam family: Bacterial small subunit ribosomal RNA
Source: RNAcentral
UACCGGUUGCUUUAACAUGCAAGUCGAGCGGCAGCGCGGGGCACCUGGCGGCGAGCGGCGAACGGGUGAGUAAUACAUCGGAACGUACCCAGUCGUGGGGGAUAGCCCGGCGAAAGCCGGAUUAAUACCGCAUACGACCUGAGGGUGAAAGUGGGGGACCGCAAGGCCUCACGCGAUUGGAGCGGCCGAUGGCGGAUUAGCUAGUUGGUGAGGUAAAGGCUCACCAAGGCGACGAUCCGUAGCUGGUCUGAGAGGACGACCAGCCACACUGGAACUGAGACACGGUCCAGACUCCUACGGGAGGCAGCAGUGGGGAAUUUUGGACAAUGGGGGAAACCCUGAUCCAGCCAUUCCGCGUGAGUGAAGAAGGCCUUCGGGUUGUAAAGCUCUUUCGGCAGGAACGAAACGGUUUGCCCUAAUACGGUGAGCUAAUGACGGUACCUGAAGAAGAAGCACCGGCUAACUACGUGCCAGCAGCCGCGGUAAUACGUAGGGUGCGAGCGUUAAUCGGAAUUACUGGGCGUAAAGCGUGCGCAGGCGGUUAUGUAAGACAGAUGUGAAAUCCCCGGGCUUAACCUGGGAACUGCGUUUGUGACUGCAUAACUUGAGUGUGGCAGAGGGGGGUGGAAUUCCACGUGUAGCAGUGAAAUGCGUAGAGAUGUGGAGGAACACCGAUGGCGAAGGCAGCCCCCUGGGUCAACACUGACGCUCAUGCACGAAAGCGUGGGGAGCAAACAGGAUUAGAUACCCUGGUAGUCCACGCCCUAAACGAUGCGAACUAGGUGUUGGGGAAGGAGACUUUCUUAGUACCGCAGCUAACGCGUGAAGUUCGCCGCCUGGGGAGUACGGUCGCAAGAUUAAAACUCAAAGGAAUUGACGG